Molecule: long non-coding RNA, 1840 nt
Organism: Bubalus bubalis (water buffalo)
Lineage: Eukaryota; Metazoa; Chordata; Mammalia; Artiodactyla; Bovidae
Exons: 3
Source: RefSeq, a predicted model, not a curated record
GGGAGGCCUCAGUGUCUCCUCUCCUUCGGGAGAACGGAAGGAUGCCUGUGGCCUACAUGUUUCCUGAUCCUCGCCUACGCCGUCUCUCCUUCGAAUACCCUGGAUCAGCCGGGGCUGGACCCCAGCAGAAUUGGGAGGGAAAUCUGUAGAGUGUGUGACCUGGACACCAUUGGAAGAGUGUUCCAAGAAAGAAGUGUCUCCUGCUGCUGACAUUUCAAAGUGAGAUUGAGAGGAUCCUGGACUAGAUGGCAGAGAAGGUCAUGUCCUUGUGGUGGUGGAGGGCAAAGGCAGAAAUGAGAAGGAGUUGAAGGGUGCUCUGAAGUGAAGAAAUGAAAGGGUGAUGACCUCACAUGUAUUACGAAAUAAAUGACCAUUUAUUGAACACACAAAGAUGGAUUUUUUUUUUUCCUUUGCCUGUGUUGUUCCUUCUGCACAGUUGAAGGGUGCUCUGAAGUGAAGAAAUGAAAGGGUGAUGACCUCACAUGUAUUACGAAAUAAAUGAUCAUUUAUUGAACACACAAAGAUGGAUUUUUUUUUUUCCUUUGCCUGUGUUGUUCCUUCUGCACAGACUGUUUAUACUUCCUUGAUUUGUCGAGUAAUUCAUUUCUCUUUUUAAGAUCAGGUUAGAUGAAAGCCUUUUCUCCUUAUGAAUAUGGGUUUUCACUAAUCCAUAAAUUCAUUCUUAAUAUGUAGCAUAAUAUCCACUUCAGGGUACUUCUUAUGCAACAAGUCAUCCAAGCAUGGGCUUUUGAGUCAGUCAGACUUGAAUUUGAAUGCCUGUCCAGUUGCUUACUCACUCUGUGACUUUGCAGAGUUUAUUUUUAUCCCUGUGCCUUAUUUUUCUCAUCAAUAAAACUUUCAGAAUGUGGCAGGUAUGAUAAGACCUACCUCAGAGAGGUUCUGUGAGUACUUAAUUACAUAAUACAUUACAAAUGCCAAAGUGUCCAGCAUUACAAGCAAUCAGUAAAUGUGAGUUGCUUAUAUCCUUUGCUUUGGGAUUUUUUUUUUUUUUCUCUGAAUAGUUUCAAACACCCUAAACCCUUCUCCUUCCUUCCAUCUUAUACAUUGUUCCUCAUGGGUCUUGUUGAUUUUCUUUUCAUAACCUUGGUUUUCUUUUUCCCAGGCUUGAUCUAAUGGCCUGGGAAAAUGGCCUUGGUCUAAUGGCCACAUAUGGAAGGAGCAAAGAAGGUCCGCCCUGACAACUCUGAGGAACUUUGGUUUAGGAAGGAAAAGCUUAGAAGAGUGCAUUCAGGAAGAGGCCGCCUACCUCAUCCAGACAGUAGGAGAGGAGAACGAGACCAAUGGAGCUGGACUAAAACGAGUAAGAGAGAGCAAGAUGGCAGGGAGUGAUGGCUGAGGAGGCAACAGGAGGGUAAGGAACCAGAUUGUGUAGAGCUCCAAGCCAGGAGAAGGAUGUAGAAUUUGUCUAAAUGUCUUGGAAAGUCAUUGGAGGAUUGAAAACCAAAAAGUGAAAUGAUCCCAUUAAACUGUUAAAUGAUCCCUUGGGCAGCUCAGUGCAAAAUAGACUGGGAAGGAGGUUAGGAGAGAAUCAGGAAAAAUGUUGGAGGCUUUACAGCAUCCAGGUAAGAAAUGUUAGUGUUUUGUACGAGGAUGACAAAGCAGAAGUGAGAAGUGGUCCAAGACUGGUUAUAUUUUGAAUGGAGUGCCAAAAUGCUUUGCCAGAGGGGAAAAGAGGGUUGAGAUAGGAAUGAUAAGUCCAGGGUGACUCUGAUGGUUCAGUUCAGUUCAGUUCAGUCGCUCAGUCAUGUCCGACUCUUUCUGACCCCAUGGACUGCAGUCCGCCAGGCCUCCCUGUCUAUCACCAACGCACGGAGUUUAC